GGACGAACGCUGGCGGCGUGCUUAACACAUGCAAGUCGAGCGGUAAGGCCCGUUUCGGGGGUACACGAGCGGCGAACGGGUGAGUAACACGUGGGUGACCUGCCCUCAGCUCUGGGAUAAGCCUGGGAAACUGGGUCUAAUACUGGAUAUGACUCCACGGUGCAUGUCGGUGGGGUGGAAAGCCUUGUGCGGCUGAGGAUGGGCCCGCGGCCUAUCAGCUUGUUGGUGGGGUGANGGCCUACCAAGGCGACGACGGGUAGCCGGCCUGAGAGGGCGACCGGCCACACUGGGACUGAGACACGGCCCAGACUCCUACGGGAGGCAGCAGGUGGGGAAUCUUGCACAAUGGGCGAAAGCCUGACGCAGCGACGCCGCGU
Molecule: ribosomal RNA, 377 nt
Filed under: uncultured bacterium
Lineage: Bacteria
Description: bacterial SSU rRNA
Rfam family: Bacterial small subunit ribosomal RNA
Source: RNAcentral